UACGUAGGAGGCAAGCGUUGUCCGGAGUUACUGGGCGUAAAGCGCACGCAGGCGGUCUGCUAAGUUUGGAGUGACAGUUGGUGGCUUAACUGCCAAAGUGCUUCGAAACUGACAGACUUGAGGGCUUCAGAGGGACACGGAAUCCGGGUGGAGUGGUGAAAUGCGUAGAGAUCCGGAGGAACACCAAAGGCGAAGGCAGUGUCCUGGGGAGUACCUGACGCUCAGGUGCGAAAGCCAGGGGAGCGAACGGG
This 251-nucleotide ribosomal RNA is filed under the name uncultured bacterium. Its description in RNAcentral is "partial 16S ribosomal RNA". It matches the Rfam family "Bacterial small subunit ribosomal RNA", at positions 524 to 776 of the family's 1533-position model. The record is from RNAcentral.